AUUGAACGCUGGCGGCAUGCCUUACACAUGCAAGUCGAACGGCAGCACGGUGGCAACCCUGGUGGCGAGUGGCGAACGGGUGAGUAAAGCAUCGGAACGUGCCCAAUAGUGGGGGGAUAGCCCGGCGAAAGCCGGAUUAAUACCGCAUACGACCUGAGGGUGAAAGCGGGGGAUCGCAAGACCUCGCGCUACUGGAGCGGCCGAUGUCAGAUUAGGUAGUUGGUGGGGUAAAGGCCUACCAAGCCUGCGAUCUGUAGCUGGUCUGAGAGGACGACCAGCCACACUGGGACUGAGACACGGCCCAGACUCCUACGGGAGGCAGCAGUGGGGAAUUUUGGACAAUGGGCGCAAGCCUGAUCCAGCCAUGCCGCGUGCGGGAAGAAGGCCUUCGGGUUGUAAGCACUUUCGACGGGGACGGAUGAUGACGGUACCGUAGAAGAAGCCCGGC
Molecule: ribosomal RNA, 448 nt
Filed under: uncultured bacterium
Lineage: Bacteria
Description: bacterial SSU rRNA
Rfam family: Bacterial small subunit ribosomal RNA
Source: RNAcentral